GAUGAACGCUAGCGGGAGGCCUAACACAUGCAAGCCGAGCGGUAUUUGUUCUUCGGAACAGAGAGAGCGGCGCACGGGUGCGGAACACGUGUGCAACCGGCCUUUAUCUGGGGGAUAGCCUUUCGAAAGGAAGAUUAAUACCCCAUAAUGUAUUGAGUGGCAUCAUUGGAUAUUGAAAACUCCGGUGGAUCGAGAUGGGCACGCGCCAGAUUAGAUAGUUGGUGGGGUAACGGCUCACCAAGGCAAUGAUCUGUAGGUGGUCUGAGAGGGUGACCCGCCACACUGGGACUGAGACGCGGCCCAGACUCCUACGGGAGGCAGCAGUGGGGAAUUUUGGACAAUGGGCGAAAGCCUGAUCCAGCAAUGCCGCGUGUGGGAUGAAGGCCUUCGGGUUGUAAAGCACUUUUGGCGGGAACGAAAAGGACUGUGCCAAUACCACGGUUCGAUGACGGUACCAGAAGAAUAAGCACCGGCUAACUACGUG
RNAcentral lists this ribosomal RNA (484 nucleotides) under uncultured bacterium. Its description in RNAcentral is "partial 16S ribosomal RNA". It matches the Rfam family "Bacterial small subunit ribosomal RNA", at positions 28 to 507 of the family's 1533-position model. The record is from RNAcentral.